AAUACUGUUUUGGUGUAUGGCUUAUUGUUAGUUGGUUUGGGUCGGAAGAUGAAAACUACACCGAAAAAUGAUGAAUUCCGCCGGUGAUUGUGAUUGGUGAAGCAGUAGCAGGUAAAAUAGAAAUCAGCAAUAAAAAGCCCCAAUUCAAACCCACUAUUGACGAUAUCAAACCUCGUCUCCGUGAUCUGAGAGACCAUUUUUCACACUUGGAACCAGUGUAGGUGCUGAUGACACUCUUCAUAGAGCAAAUGUUGACAAAAAAAAAAAACUGAGGGACCAGAGUUGAAUUGUAUCCUUGAUGUUGUUCUUGAAAAUUUCAAGCCCAUUAAGAAGGGAGAUAAUAUCUCUUUAAAUCCAGAAGAAUCCCAGACUCAAGAUUCAAUAAAAAGCAGAAAAGCAUUUGGAGACAAUUUAAAUUUAGGUGUUUUAAUGAUGACAAGGGUUGCUAGGAAAACCACCUGCUCCAAAGGGUUUAGUGAUUCUGAGAGGUGAACCAAAGCCAAAGCAAACAAAACAUCAGAAACAAGAAACCACUGCCUCUUUAUAGUCACUGUAAGUAUCACAUCCGUAAAAAAACAAAUUUUGACAACAUGUAUGAAAUAUUGUAUUGCGAAAUGCAAGAAAUAGCAACUUACUUUCAUUUUCUUUCUAUUAUAGCAUUCUACUUUUACUUUUUUUUUCUUAUUAAGGCAUUGUAUUUUCAUUUUUUUCUUAGUACGACAUUGUACUUUGAAAAAUCGACCAAUUUAUAUCAGUGAAAAAUGCUUUGUAUUUGAGGUUAGAUUAUUUGAAGUAUGAUUGUGUAAUAGGCACAAAUGAAUGAAAGUGCCUUGUUGAUUCUUGCAUUAAGUAAUGUAAGCAGUUUUGUUUUGACAAACAGAUGUGGGUGGGAGUGAGUGGUGGGACAGUGGGUUUUAAAUUUAAAUGUGUGUGGGAGUGGGAGGGGAUGAGGUCUGCCACUUUGGGUGGAAUUGACUGGCAUUAAUCCAACAAUCAUUCCCUGAUUCUCAUUGUCAAACUCAAACCACUGAAAUUGGAUUCCACUCAGUUUAAUAGUGUUCUGAAUCCCUAAAAGCUACAUCCUUUUUUGGAUAAUCGUAUAACAUCAUAUGUAUAAACAAACAUCUUAAGAGUAGUUUGACUAACGGUUAAGACAUAACUUAUGUUUGGUAAUGAAAAAAUCGAACGUACGGAAUGGUUCAUUCCGAAUGAAAAAAUAAAUAAAUAAAUAAAUAAAUAAAAACUGUUUGUUUUGACCUAUAGAAUGGAAUAGAUAAUUCAGGCGGUGAUUGUAAUUUGUGAAGCAAUAGCAGGUAUAAGAGAAAUCAGCAAUAAAACCCCCCAAUUCAAGCAAACUAUUGAGGAUAUCGAACUUCG
Long non-coding RNA from Lactuca sativa (garden lettuce), 1377 nucleotides. RefSeq lists it as uncharacterized. Lineage: Eukaryota; Viridiplantae; Streptophyta; Magnoliopsida; Asterales; Asteraceae. The record is from RefSeq and is a predicted model, not a curated record.